AGAGUUUGAGUCCUGGCUCAGGACGAACGCUGGCGGCGUGCCUAACACAUGCAAGUCGAGCGGGGACAUGCGACGGAAGAGAAGUUUUCGGAUGGAUCUGAAGAUGUAUGUUCUAGCGGCGGACGGGUGAGUAACGCGUGAGCAACCUGUCCUUCACAGGGGGAUAACACAGCGAAAGUUGUACUAAUACCGCAUAAGACCACGUUGGGACAUCCCAAAGGGGUCAAAGGAGCAAUCCGGUGAAGGGUGGGCUCGCGUCCGAUUAGAUAGUUGGUGAGGUAACGGCCCACCAAGUCGACGAUCGGUAGCCGACCUGAGAGGGUGAUCGGCCACAUUGGGACUGAGACACGGCCCAAACUCCUACGGGAGGCAGCAGUGGGGAAUAUUGGGCAAUGGGGAAACCCUGACCCAGCAACGCCGCGUGAGGGAAGAAGGUUUUCGGAUCGUAAACCUCUGUCCCAGGUGAAGAGUAAGAGACGGUAACCUGGGAGGAAGCCCGGCUAACUACGUGCC
RNAcentral lists this ribosomal RNA (513 nucleotides) under uncultured bacterium. RNAcentral's name for it is "bacterial SSU rRNA". It matches the Rfam family "Bacterial small subunit ribosomal RNA", at positions 8 to 509 of the family's 1533-position model. The record is from RNAcentral.